This 28-nucleotide non-coding RNA is filed under the name Bombyx mori (domestic silkworm). Lineage: Eukaryota; Metazoa; Arthropoda; Insecta; Lepidoptera; Bombycidae. The record is from RNAcentral.
UUACAGGAAAAAUAAAACGAUGUCUCUA